ACGCUCGACACCUACGGGAGGCAGCAGUGGGGAAUAUUGCACAAUGGGGGAAACCCUGAUGCAGCGACGCCGCGUGGAGGAAGAAGGUCUUCGGAUUGUAAACUCCUGUUGUUGGGGAAAAAGAGGAUGGUACCCAACAAGGAAGUGACGGCUAACUACGUGUCAGCAGCCGCGGUAAUCUGAGGCGGGCUGGCAAGGC
This 199-nucleotide ribosomal RNA is filed under the name uncultured bacterium. RNAcentral describes it as "partial 16S ribosomal RNA". It matches the Rfam family "Bacterial small subunit ribosomal RNA", at positions 328 to 539 of the family's 1533-position model. The record is from RNAcentral.